UGAACCUACGGGACGCAGCAGUGAGGAAUAUUGGUCAAUGGACGCAAGUCUGAACCAGCCAUGCCGCGUGCAGGAAGACGGCUCUAUGAGUUGUAAACUGCUUUUGUACGAGGGUAAACGCAGAUACGUGUAUCUGUCUGAAAGUAUCGUACGAAUAAGGAUCGGCUAACUCCGUGCCAGCAGCCGCGGUAAUACGGAGGAUGCGAGCGUUAUCCGGAUUUAUUGGGUUCAAAGGGUGCGUAGGCGGAAUGCCAAGUCAGCGGUAAAAUCGCGGGGCUCAACCUCGCUCCGCCGUUGAAACUGGC
This 305-nucleotide ribosomal RNA is filed under the name uncultured bacterium. RNAcentral describes it as "bacterial SSU rRNA". It matches the Rfam family "Bacterial small subunit ribosomal RNA", at positions 332 to 637 of the family's 1533-position model. The record is from RNAcentral.